Molecule: ribosomal RNA, 434 nt
Filed under: uncultured bacterium
Lineage: Bacteria
Description: partial 16S ribosomal RNA
Rfam family: Bacterial small subunit ribosomal RNA
Source: RNAcentral
AGUGAACGCUGGCGGCAGGCCUAACACAUGCAAGUCGAACGAACCUUUCGGGGUUAGUGGCGGACGGGUGAGUAACACGCGGGAACGUGCCCUUAGGUCAGGCAUAACUCAGGGAAACUUGUGCCAAUACCGAACGUGCCCUUCAGGGGCAAGAUUUAUCGCCUUUAGAGCGGCCCGCGUCAGAUUAGCUAGUUGGUUGAGGUAAUGGCUCACCAAGGCGACGAUCAGUAGCUGGUCUGAGAGGAUGAUCAGCCACAUUGGGACUGAGACACGGCCCAAACUCCUACGGGAGGCAGCAGUGGGGAAUCUUGCGCAAUGCGCGAAAGCCUGACGCAGCCAUGCCGCGUGAAUGAUGAAGGUCUUAGGAUUGUAAAAUUCUUUCACCGGGGACGAUAAUGACGGUACCCGGAGAAGAAGCCCCGGCUAACUUCGUG